AACGCGAAGAACCUUACCUGGGCUUGACAUACUGGUAGUAGAAACCUGAAAGGGCAACGAUCCCCGCAAGGGGAAGCCAGAACAGGUGCUGCAUGGCUGUCGUCAGCUCGUGCCGUGAGGUGUUGGGUUAAGUCCCGCAACGAGCGCAACCCUCGCCCUUAGUUGCCAGCGGGUAAUGCCGGGCACUCUAAGGGAACUGCCCGUGAUAAACGGGAGGAAGGUGAGGAUGACGUCAAGUCCUCAUGGCCUUUAUGCCCAGGGCCACACACGUGCUACAAUGGCCGGUACAAAGGGUCGCGAACCCGCAAGGGGGAGCCAAUCCCAAAAAACCGGUCUCAGUUCAGAUUGGGGUCUGCAAUUCGACCCCAUGAAGUAGGAAUCGCUAGUAAUCGCGGAUCAGCACGCCGCGGUGAAUACGUUCCCGGGCCUUGUACACACCGGUACUA
Molecule: ribosomal RNA, 446 nt
Filed under: uncultured bacterium
Lineage: Bacteria
Description: bacterial SSU rRNA
Rfam family: Bacterial small subunit ribosomal RNA
Source: RNAcentral